CUCUGCUUUCCUGCAUCACAAACGAAGGCUUCUGAACGGUUCCAACCUGCUUUUUCUCUAAUAGUGCUUAUAUUGCAUUGGCUUUGCAAAGAAGAUCCAAAAGUGAGCAAGGGUCUUCUUUUACCGACAGUGGUGGCGUGGUUCUCUCUCUUCGGUGUAGUUAUGGCUCCGGUAAACGGAGAAGAAGAUCCGGUGUAAAGUCCCCUGGUUUGAGGACGCCGGUGGGUUAUCGCCGGAGCUUCUCGGCUCCUCCGUUUCAACGGCUCGCUGUGACUACAGCGGAAGCCGAAGGGUGAGUGGUGGGGAGUGCUGUUUCGUCGAGGUGGUUAAUGGCUCGAUCCUUUUGGAUCUUGUUGGCUGUCGCGGAUUCUGGUUGCAGUUGGUCUGGGUGAGCCGUCAGCCUCUGUAAUUGCCGCGAAUUGUGUGUCCACCGGACCGGUUUGAAGUUGUCCUUGCUCGAGGGAGAUCGAAGCCGUCGGUGGUUAAAGGAGGGGAUAGAUCUGAGUUUUGGCGGUUUGCUAGGUCAGAAACUGCCAACGUCGAUGUCGGUUGUCGGAAGUUGUGCACACCGGGAGGGAUGUAGCGGGUCAGGUGGCUCGCCGGAUCAAGAUUAACGAUAGAAACUGGAUUCUUCUGUCGGUGGUCUGGAUCCUGCAGUUGCUGCUGCAAAGCCGUGGCCCUUGAAUCCACCGGAAUUGGUGCGCUGACUCUCUGUUUCCGGUGAUCAACAGGGUCCGAUCCUCUUGCCGGCGGCUGCUCUAUUUCGUUUUUCUGUAAACCCUAAUUUUGUACUGGAUCCGAAUUGUAACAGGCCAAAACCCAGCCGAUUUGGGAGUUU
Non-coding RNA from Camelina sativa (false flax), 838 nucleotides. The record is from RefSeq and is a predicted model, not a curated record. Lineage: Eukaryota; Viridiplantae; Streptophyta; Magnoliopsida; Brassicales; Brassicaceae.